CUAUAACCUAAACCUAAACUAUAACCUUAACCUAAACCUUAUCCUAAACCUAAACCUAAACCUUAACCUUAACCUUAACCUUAACCUAAACCUAAACCUAAACCUAAACCUUAACCUAUACUUAUGAAUUCUAAUUUAUUUUAUAAAAGUUCAUUUAAGACUAAGAUAUUUUCUUAAUAAGUUUAUUGCCUUAAUCUAUUAUUUACGAAACUGCAUGAUAAAUUUCACUUGGAUUUGAGUGUUCCGCACAUCUCCUAUGCCAUCGAUGACAUGAUGAAGGAGCGGUUCAAGGCUUACCGCGAAGAGGAGCAAAAUAAAUUCCGACAACAGGAGAAAGUUAGAAGUGAACCACGUAGCUGGUUCAAAGUUAUUUGUACGACUUUGUCACGACAUGGUAAGAAAUUACUGGUAAUUUAUAUAUUCUUUCCAUGCAUUUAUGUUAACUCUAUUUUUCUUUCGAUUGCGCAACGAGAUUCCAUCACUGGCUAGGAGCCCGGACCAGUAGACUUCUACAAAGGGACUCACUGUCGGCAGGCGAGUGGAUCUUGGAUACAUCCUAGAGCCAGCGAGAUUUGGGCGGCGAUGGACACCUUACGCAGUCAGCCCACUCCCGAUGGUACUCAGUGGAGUGAGCCAGAGAUCCUAAGUGAGGUUCUUGGCACCUGUUCUGGAUAUGUGCUUGGGCUUAGCCAUGGUGCCAAGCUCAUAACACUCGCUAGAGCUGCCUCCAGCUGAUCCGUCGUCAUUGGCGAGAGUGUCGUACACCGAGCUGAUACCGUAGAGAGAGAGGUUCAGUAGCUACGGGUUGUCGUCGAUGACAUCAGAGAUCAGCUGGAUAGGCAGAAGGAGGAGCAGGAGAGGAAGAUGAUGGAAGAGCUGACGAGGCAGAGGGAGGAGCAGGAGAGAAAGAUGGAGGAUCAGCAGGCGAGGCAGAGGGAGGAGCAGGAGAGGAAGAUGGAGUAGAUGUGGGUGGAGCAUGAGCGACGGAUGAUGGAGAUGUUUCAAGCUUUCACUGCACACUUACCCACCGAUGCCCCACCACCUUUGCCUUCAUCUUUAUGAUUUUUUCUUUUUUAUUUAUGAUGUUAAACUUAUAUGUAUUUAUACGUGAAUGAAUGUGAUGCGUAUAAGAUUGUUUGUGCUUGGAUGUAUGUAGUUUAUGUUUGGAUGGAUUUACUAGUUUGGGUUAGAUGGAUCUGAAUGUGAAUAUGAUGAAAUUUGACAGGUGUAUUAUGAUAUAACAGGUGUACAUCAGGAAAAAUAUGAUACAUAACAGGUGUAUAUCAGGAUGUGAAUAUGAAUAUGAUGAUAUAACAGGUAUAUCAGGAUGAAUAUGAUGAAAUAUAUUGCAACGGGUGUCUAUCAGGUAUUUUGUACGGAAUUUUGUAUUGGAUAUUU
Molecule: long non-coding RNA, 1398 nt
Organism: Magnolia sinica
Lineage: Eukaryota; Viridiplantae; Streptophyta; Magnoliopsida; Magnoliales; Magnoliaceae
Exons: 3
Source: RefSeq, a predicted model, not a curated record